This 2907-nucleotide ribosomal RNA is filed under the name Enterobacter ludwigii. RNAcentral's name for it is "23S ribosomal RNA". It matches the Rfam family "Bacterial large subunit ribosomal RNA". The record is from RNAcentral. Lineage: Bacteria; Pseudomonadati; Pseudomonadota; Gammaproteobacteria; Enterobacterales; Enterobacteriaceae.
GGUUAAGCGACUAAGCGUACACGGUGGAUGCCCUGGCAGUCAGAGGCGAUGAAGGACGUGCUAAUCUGCGAAAAGCGCCGGCGAGGUGAUAUGAACCUUUGACCCGGCGAUGUCCGAAUGGGGAAACCCAGUGUGUUCCGACACACUAUCGUUAACUGAAUACAUAGGUUAACGAGGCGAACCGGGGGAACUGAAACAUCUAAGUACCCCGAGGAAAAGAAAUCAACCGAGAUUCCCCCAGUAGCGGCGAGCGAACGGGGAGCAGCCCAGAGUCUGAAUCAGCUUGUGUGUUAGUGGAAGCGUCUGGAAAGUCGCACGGUACAGGGUGACAGUCCCGUACACGAAAGCACACAGGCUGUGAACUCGAAGAGUAGGGCGGGACACGUGGUAUCCUGUCUGAAUAUGGGGGGACCAUCCUCCAAGGCUAAAUACUCCUGACUGACCGAUAGUGAACCAGUACCGUGAGGGAAAGGCGAAAAGAACCCCGGCGAGGGGAGUGAAAAAGAACCUGAAACCGUGUACGUACAAGCAGUGGGAGCCUCUUUUAUGGGGUGACUGCGUACCUUUUGUAUAAUGGGUCAGCGACUUAUAUUCUGUAGCAAGGUUAACCGUAUAGGGGAGCCGAAGGGAAACCGAGUCUUAACUGGGCGUUAAGUUGCAGGGUAUAGACCCGAAACCCGGUGAUCUAGCCAUGGGCAGGUUGAAGGUUGGGUAACACUAACUGGAGGACCGAACCGACUAAUGUUGAAAAAUUAGCGGAUGACUUGUGGCUGGGGGUGAAAGGCCAAUCAAACCGGGAGAUAGCUGGUUCUCCCCGAAAGCUAUUUAGGUAGCGCCUCGUGAACUCAUCUUCGGGGGUAGAGCACUGUUUCGGCUAGGGGGCCAUCCCGGCUUACCAACCCGAUGCAAACUACGAAUACCGAAGAAUGUUAUCACGGGAGACACACGGCGGGUGCUAACGUCCGUCGUGAAGAGGGAAACAACCCAGACCGCCAGCUAAGGUCCCAAAGUCAUGGUUAAGUGGGAAACGAUGUGGGAAGGCACAGACAGCCAGGAUGUUGGCUUAGAAGCAGCCAUCAUUUAAAGAAAGCGUAAUAGCUCACUGGUCGAGUCGGCCUGCGCGGAAGAUGUAACGGGGCUAAACCAUGCACCGAAGCUGCGGCAGCGACGCUUAUGCGUUGUUGGGUAGGGGAGCGUUCUGUAAGCCGUUGAAGGUGUCCUGUGAGGGGUGCUGGAGGUAUCAGAAGUGCGAAUGCUGACAUAAGUAACGAUAAAGCGGGUGAAAAGCCCGCUCGCCGGAAGACCAAGGGUUCCUGUCCAACGUUAAUCGGGGCAGGGUGAGUCGACCCCUAAGGCGAGGCCGAAAGGCGUAGUCGAUGGGAAACAGGUUAAUAUUCCUGUACUUGGUGUUACUGCGAAGGGGGGACGGAGAAGGCUAUGUUAGCCGGGCGACGGUUGUCCCGGUUUAAGCAUGUAGGCGGAGGUUCCAGGUAAAUCCGGUUCCUUAUUAACGCUGAGGUGUGAUGACGAGGCACUACGGUGCUGAAGUAACAAAUGCCCUGCUUCCAGGAAAAGCCUCUAAGCAUCAGGUAACAUCAAAUCGUACCCCAAACCGACACAGGUGGUCAGGUAGAGAAUACCAAGGCGCUUGAGAGAACUCGGGUGAAGGAACUAGGCAAAAUGGUGCCGUAACUUCGGGAGAAGGCACGCUGAUAUGUAGGUGAAGCCCCUGCGGGUGGAGCUGAAAUCAGUCGAAGAUACCAGCUGGCUGCAACUGUUUAUUAAAAACACAGCACUGUGCAAACACGAAAGUGGACGUAUACGGUGUGACGCCUGCCCGGUGCCGGAAGGUUAAUUGAUGGGGUUAGCGGUAACGCGAAGCUCUUGAUCGAAGCCCCGGUAAACGGCGGCCGUAACUAUAACGGUCCUAAGGUAGCGAAAUUCCUUGUCGGGUAAGUUCCGACCUGCACGAAUGGCGUAAUGAUGGCCAGGCUGUCUCCACCCGAGACUCAGUGAAAUUGAACUCGCUGUGAAGAUGCAGUGUACCCGCGGCAAGACGGAAAGACCCCGUGAACCUUUACUAUAGCUUGACACUGAACACUGGUCCUUGAUGUGUAGGAUAGGUGGGAGGCUUUGAAGCGUGGACGCCAGUCUGCGUGGAGCCAACCUUGAAAUACCACCCUUUAAUGGCUGGUGUUCUAACGUAGACCCGUAAUCCGGGUUGCGGACAGUGUCUGGUGGGUAGUUUGACUGGGGCGGUCUCCUCCCAAAGAGUAACGGAGGAGCACGAAGGUUAGCUAAUCCUGGUCGGACAUCAGGAGGUUAGUGCAAUGGCAUAAGCUAGCUUGACUGCGAGAGUGACGGCUCGAGCAGGUGCGAAAGCAGGUCAUAGUGAUCCGGUGGUUCUGAAUGGAAGGGCCAUCGCUCAACGGAUAAAAGGUACUCCGGGGAUAACAGGCUGAUACCGCCCAAGAGUUCAUAUCGACGGCGGUGUUUGGCACCUCGAUGUCGGCUCAUCACAUCCUGGGGCUGAAGUAGGUCCCAAGGGUAUGGCUGUUCGCCAUUUAAAGUGGUACGCGAGCUGGGUUUAGAACGUCGUGAGACAGUUCGGUCCCUAUCUGCCGUGGGCGCUGGAGAAUUGAGGGGGGCUGCUCCUAGUACGAGAGGACCGGAGUGGACGCAUCACUGGUGUUCGGGUUGUCAUGCCAAUGGCACUGCCCGGUAGCUAAAUGCGGAAGAGAUAAGUGCUGAAAGCAUCUAAGCACGAAACUUGCCCCGAGAUGAGUUCUCCCUGAGACUUUAAGUCUCCUGAAGGAACGUUGAAGACUACGACGUUGAUAGGUCGGGUGUGUAAGCGCAGCGAUGCGUUGAGCUAACCGAUACUAAUGAACCGUGAGGCUUAACCUU